AUCUUCGGCAAUGGGCGAAAGCCUGACCGAGCGACGCCGCGUGCGGGAUGAAGGCCUUCGGGUUGUAAACCGCUGUCGUAGGGGAGGAAAUGCAGGAGGGUUCUCCCUUCUGUUUGACCUAGCCUAGGAGGAAGGACGGGCUAAGUUCGUGCCAGCAGCCGCGGUAAGACGAACCGUCCAAACGUUACUCGGAAUUACUGGGCUUAAAGGGUGCGUAGGCUGCGCGGAAAGUUGGGUGUGAAAGCCCUCAGCUCAACUGGGGAAUUGCAUUCAAAACUACCGUGCUCGAGGGAGACAGAGGUAAGCGGAACUCAAGGUGGAGCGGUGAAAUGCGUUGAUAUCUUGAGGAACACCGGUGGCGAAAGCGGCUUACUGGGCCUCUUCUGACGCUGAGGCACGAAAGCUAAGGUAGCAAACGGGAUUAGAUACCCCGGUAGUCUUAGCUGUAAACGAUGAGCACUUGUUUGAAGGGUCCUCCAUAGCCUUUCAGACGUAGCGAAAGUGUUAAGUGCUCCGCCUGGGGAGUAUGGUCGCAAGGCUGAAACUCAAAGAAA
Molecule: ribosomal RNA, 554 nt
Filed under: uncultured bacterium
Lineage: Bacteria
Description: bacterial SSU rRNA
Rfam family: Bacterial small subunit ribosomal RNA
Source: RNAcentral